CUGGCGGCGUGCCUAACACAUGCAAGUCGAACGCUCUUUGAGGGCAACCUCAAAGGGAGUGGCGGACGGGUGAGUAACACGUGGGUUAUCUGCCUUGAGGUGAGGAAUACCGGCGAGAAAUCGCCGACAAGACCGCAUAGCUUCGGGAAACCGAAGAAAGUCCCGGAGACGGGACGCCCCAAGAUGAGCCUGCGUCCGAUUACGCUCGUUGGUAGGGUAAAGGCCUACCAAUGCGACGAUCGGUAGCUGGUCUGAGAGGACGAUCAGCCACACUGGGAUUGAGAACGGCCCAGACUCCUACGGGGGGCAGCAGUGAGGAAUUUUCGUCAAUGGGGGCAACCCUGAACGAGCAACGCCGCGUGCAGGAAGAAGGUUUUCGGAUCGUAAACUGCUUUUCUUGGGGAAGAGAACGGACGGUACCCGAGGAAGAAGCCCCGGCUAACUACGUGCCAGCAGCCGCGGUAAUACGUAGGGGGCAAGCGUUGUCCGGAUUUAUUGGGCGUAAAGCGCACGCAGGCGGUCUUGUACGUUUCCAGUGACAGGUGAUGGCUCAACUGCCACAGGCCUGGGAAAACGGCAAGACUUGAGGACGAGAGAGGGAUGCGGAAUUCCAGGUGGAGCGGUGAAAUGCGUAGAGAUCUGGAAGAACACCAAUGGCGAAGGCAGCAUCCUGGAUCGUAUCUGACGCUCUUGUGCGAAAGCCAGGGGAGCGAACGGGAUUAGAUACCCCGGUAGUCCUGGCUGUAAACGAUGACCACUAGACGUAGGAGGUAUCGACCCCUUCUGUGUCGCAGCUAACGCACUAAGUGGUCCGCCUGGGGAGUACGGUCGCAAGAUUAAAACUCAAAGGAAUUGACGGGGACCCGCACAAGCAGCGGAGCGUGUGGUUUAAUUCGAUGCAACGCGAAGAACCUUACCAAGGCUUGACAUGGACUCGCAGCAGCCGUAACGGGCUGUUCCGGAAACGGACGGGUUCACAGGUGCUGCAUGGCUGUCGUCAGCUCGUGUCGUGAGAUGUUGGGUUAAGUCCCGCAACGAGCGCAACCCCUAUUGUUAGUUGAAUACCUCUAGCGAGACUGCCACGCUAAACGUGGAGGAAGGUGGGGAUGACGUCAAGUCAGCACGGCCCUUACGCCUUGGGCGACACACACGCUACAAUGGUCAGGACAAAGAGUUGCCAACCCGCGAGGGGGAGCUAAUCUCAUCAAACCUGAUCCCAGUUCAGAUUGCAGGCUGCAACCCGCCUGCAUGAAGUCGGAGUUGCUAGUAACCGUAGGUCAGCACACUACGGUGAUACUAUUACCCGGUCGUUGUACACACU
This 1321-nucleotide ribosomal RNA is filed under the name uncultured bacterium. RNAcentral describes it as "bacterial SSU rRNA". It matches the Rfam family "Bacterial small subunit ribosomal RNA", at positions 36 to 1391 of the family's 1533-position model. The record is from RNAcentral.